Molecule: ribosomal RNA, 253 nt
Filed under: uncultured bacterium
Lineage: Bacteria
Description: partial 16S ribosomal RNA
Rfam family: Bacterial small subunit ribosomal RNA
Source: RNAcentral
UACGUAGGGUGCGAGCGUUGUCCGGAAUUAUUGGGCGUAAAGAGCUUGUAGGCGGUUUGUCGCGUCUGCUGUGAAAUUCCGGGGCUCAACCCCGGACUUGCAGUGGGUACGGGCAGACUAGAGUGUGGUAGGGGAGACUGGAAUACCUGGUGUAGCGGUGGAAUGCGCAGAUAUCAGGAGGAACACCGAUGGCGAAGGCAGGUCUCUGGGCCACUACUGACGCUGAGAAGCGAAAGCAUGGGGAGCGAACAGG